Molecule: transfer RNA, 72 nt
Filed under: Camelus ferus (Wild Bactrian camel)
Lineage: Eukaryota; Metazoa; Chordata; Mammalia; Artiodactyla; Camelidae
Rfam family: tRNA
About the family: Transfer RNA (tRNA) molecules are approximately 80 nucleotides in length. Their secondary structure includes four short double-helical elements and three loops (D, anti-codon, and T loops). Further hydrogen bonds mediate the characteristic L-shaped molecular structure. tRNAs have two regions of fundamental functional importance: the anti-codon, which is responsible for specific mRNA codon recognition, and the 3' end, to which the tRNAs corresponding amino acid is attached (by aminoacyl-tRNA synthetases). tRNAs cope with the degeneracy of the genetic code in two manners: having more than one tRNA (with a specific anti-codon) for a particular amino acid; and 'wobble' base-pairing, i.e. permitting non-standard base-pairing at the 3rd anti-codon position.
Source: Rfam by way of RNAcentral
UAAGGUAUAGCUCAGUGGUAGAGCGCAUGCCUAGCAUGCACGAGGUCCUGGGUUCAAUCCCCAGUACCUCCA